This is a long non-coding RNA of Spodoptera frugiperda (fall armyworm), 535 nucleotides long. RefSeq lists it as uncharacterized. NCBI's taxonomy places the organism in Eukaryota, Metazoa, Arthropoda, Insecta, Lepidoptera, Noctuidae. The transcript is spliced from 2 exons. The record is from RefSeq and is a predicted model, not a curated record.
UGUAUUUGUGUAAAUAUGUCAUUGCUACCACGGUGGUAUAAAAAUAAUCAAUGUGAUCCGACUCUAUACAUUAUUGUUUAACUCGUCGUUGUGCAAUAAUCUCAACGAUAUGUCGGCCACCAUCAAGUUUCUAUCCGUUUUCUAUCUGUGUGUGGUGCUGGGCGCAGUAUUUGGGAAACACGUCGCGCCUGAUUCUAAGCCCGUGUCUCAUCAUGUUGCUAACACUGGAAAUGCCGAUACAAUCGUUAUAUAUUUGAAGGAUAUUAAUCACCAUCAAGAUGCAACACGAUUUAAAAGGAGCCCAUGGCUGGAAAAGUGGAGAGAUCCUUUGGCCUCUCCGAGUGAGGAAAUGGAACCGUUUUUUAUUUAACCCGACUGCUUCGAACGCGUGUUGGGCUGGUGGUGGAUGAUGAAGCAGCCAACGUUGGACAGCACAAAAUUAUAACGACCUUCGCAUGCAUAAAUGAUAAUAGGUAUUAUAUUAAGCUUUUGUUUUGUUUGUGUUUUUGUCUAAAUAUAAAUUAAAGUGGUUUCA